This 449-nucleotide ribosomal RNA is filed under the name uncultured bacterium. RNAcentral's name for it is "partial 16S ribosomal RNA". It matches the Rfam family "Bacterial small subunit ribosomal RNA", at positions 29 to 523 of the family's 1533-position model. The record is from RNAcentral.
AGCGAACGCUGGCGGCAGGCUUAACACAUGCAAGUCGAACGGGCACUUCGGUGUCAGUGGCAGACGGGUGAGUAACACGUGGGAACGUACCUUUUGGUUCGGAACAACUGAGGGAAACUUCAGCUAAUACCGGAUAAGCCCUCACGGGGAAAGAUUUAUCGCCGAAAGAUCGGCCCGCGUCUGAUUAGCUAGUUGGUAGGGUAACGGCCUACCAAGGCGACGAUCAGUAGCUGGUCUGAGAGGAUGAUCAGCCACAUUGGGACUGAGACACGGCCCAAACGCCUACGGGAGGCAGCAGUGGGGAAUAUUGGACAAUGGGGGCAACCCUGACCCAGCCAUGCCGCGUGAGUGAUGAAGGCCCUAGGGUUGUAAAGCUCUUUUGUGCGGGAAGAUAAUGACGGUACCGCAAGAAUAAGCCCCGGCUAACUUCGUGCCAGCCGCCGCGGUAA